This 253-nucleotide ribosomal RNA is filed under the name uncultured bacterium. RNAcentral describes it as "partial 16S ribosomal RNA". It matches the Rfam family "Bacterial small subunit ribosomal RNA", at positions 524 to 776 of the family's 1533-position model. The record is from RNAcentral.
UACGGAGGGGGCUAGCGUUGUUCGGAAUUACUGGGCGUAAAGCGCACGUAGGCGGCUUUGUAAGUUAGAGGUGAAAGCCCGGAGCUCAACUCCGGAAUUGCCUUUAAGACUGCAUCGCUCGAAUCAUGGAGAGGUGAGUGGAAUUCCGAGUGUAGAGGUGAAAUGCGUAGAUAUCCGGAGGAACACCAGUGGCGAAAGCGGCCACCUGGACUGUACCUGACGCUCAAACACGAAAGCUAGGGGAGCGAACGGG